GACGGGUCUAACCGGCCCCACCUCUUCAUCCGUGUCUACAUACCAAUGUUGCUUUGGCGAGCC
RNAcentral lists this ribosomal RNA (63 nucleotides) under Physcia alnophila. RNAcentral describes it as "partial 18S ribosomal RNA". Lineage: Eukaryota; Fungi; Ascomycota; Lecanoromycetes; Caliciales; Physciaceae. The record is from RNAcentral.